Mustela lutreola (European mink) is the source of this 7088-nucleotide RNA transcript. It is a transcript of the gene named TNF receptor superfamily member 14, with no coding region annotated. Lineage: Eukaryota; Metazoa; Chordata; Mammalia; Carnivora; Mustelidae. The record is from RefSeq and is a predicted model, not a curated record. The transcript has 3 exons.
GUUGAGGGCGGCCCAGAGCGGGGAGCUCCUGACCGGGUGUGUUAAUGUUACAGGACUUUGUCCCCUUAGUGUCCGUGGUUCUUGGCCGCUCUCGUUGAAGAACGAGGAGCUGGGCCAGACAAGGGGUGGCAAAGCGAAGUGUAUCGACACCGUGUGAAGCGCCUGGAGAAACAGGGGACCCGAGAGCGUUGCCAUUUUGGUCCUCAAAUAUAGGGACUUUUAUUUUUUAUUUAUUUCUUUCAAAGAUCUCCUUCGUGUGUUUGAGGGAGAGCACGAGCAGGGGACGAGCGGAGGGAGAAACAGACGCCCCACCGGGCAGGGAGCCCGGCUUUAUCCCACGAUCCCUGCAGACCCCGGGAUCACCACCCCGGCUGAAGGCAGAUGCUUCCCAGACUGAGGCACCCAGGUGCCCUUAGGGGUUUCUAUAAGCACUUUUGAGGAACGGUCUUGAGCAUCCUGAGAGGGGGCCCCCCCGAGGACUGGCUACUAAGGUGUGCCAAUCAGGGCUUGAAUCAGGUCCCCGAGUGCCUGUGGAGUUAUUGCUCACAUGUUGCUGGUCUCGUGGGCUGACCUCUGGGGACCAACUGGACAGUGAAUGACGUUCCACGGUUACUGGUUUUGUUUGGGAUGUGUUGCAAAUGUCAGUCCCGCCAGACAGGAAGCUGUCGUGGUCUCGUCGAAGUGGUGCCCGCCCGGUUUUGUCUCGGCUGUCCCGACACUCUGUUUCCUUGCUGGGGACACUGGCCCUGAAGACCUGCGUGUCCCAUGACCCCCUGGUAUUAACAUACCUCGCCCGCAUCAGAAGCGGAACAGAGCGAAGCAAAGGCUGUGUGUGACAAGCCACCAGGGUCAGCUGGUGGUUCUGUGGCCCGCCAGUGACUUUCCUGUGUCUGAGUGAGCAUGUGGCCUGUGUUCCUGGAGAUGCGGACACGCUGUGACGUCACUGAUUAACCCGGCUGAUGGCGUGGGCCCCUCUCCACGGACGGGAGGCUUCCUCCGCUUCCCGGGUCCCCGUGGGCCUGGGCUGUGUGCCUGCUGCUAGGGACGCAGCAGUGACAGGGGCCAGAGCUCCUUGCCCUCAGGAGCUCACCUUCUGGGUGGAGGUUGCCCUGGAUUGUGUGUCCUCAGAUUCACGCGUGGAGGCUCUCACACCCACUGUGACUGCAGCGGGAGACGGGGAUUCUCGGAGGUAGUUAGGGCUGCAUGACAGCGACUUGAUCUCAGCUCAGGUCUUGAUCUUGGGUUUUGGGUUCAAGACCUGCCCUGGGCUGCAGGCUGGGCAAGGAGAUGGCUUCAAAACAAAACAAAGAGGAAGGGACAUGUGAGCUCCCCCGCCCAACAGUGUGUGUGCAGAGGGAGGACACGGCACGGCGGCAGCGUCUGCGGUCCAAGGAGAGAGGCCUCGGCCAAGGCCCUCGGCCUUGCUGGCCCCGUGAUCUUGGACUUCCUGUGUCCAGAACCUGGAGAAAUCGAUGUGUGCUGUUUAAGCAGCCCAGCCUAAGGCGUGUGGUCACGAGGCCCAGACAAUGUAGGAGUGGCAGACGCGGCUCGACUUGCUGCUGGAAAGGUGCCGCGGCUACCGCCAGGCAGUGGAGAGAGAGAGGGCUGAGGGUGUGGGUGCCUGGGGAGGGGCGGGUGAGGAAGGGCCCGGCUGUCCGGGGGAGGCGCGGCUGCCUCCAGGCUCCUGGUUUUGGGAGAGAGGGGAGGGUCUUCCUAUUGGGGGGCACGGAGGUGCGGGGGGAUGGGGGUCAGAAACGGAUACCCCAGUCUGGAGCUUCGGGCAGACCGUCCCCUCAGUUCUGCUCCCAGGAGCCGGCCCCUCAACGUCUGGGAAGUCCCCAGGCUCCCUGCACACCCUCUGGCCCUCCUCUGACCCCUGAACCCUGCAUCCUUCCCCUCUGUCGCAGGCAUGAGGCCAUGCUGUGGGGUCUGCGCCGUCCACCCUCCUCUCCACAUGAUGCUGGAGCUGCCUCCUGUAGGCUUUCCGCCUCUGGGUGUCUCCGGUGUUCCCCCCCCCCCGCACCCUCCCCACCCUGCUCCCUGCCUUUCAGGGCUUCCACCUGGCCCAACCCGGGAGCUAGCCCAUCGGCCUCCUGUCCACUCUGUCUGCCCCCCACGAGCCUGAAGACUGCAUGGUGGCCCUGUGGGAGGGGGCCCUGGCCAGUCCUGCGCUGUGUGAGCCCCCCCACCCCCCACACCCCGCCUUACCAAGAAUGGACCCCAGGCACUUCCCAGCCAUGUUACACAACUGUCUUCUUUCUCAGAGAUGUCCUGUCCCCCAUCCCCAGGGCCGCAUCGUUCCUCUGCCCCUCACUAAGCAGGUGCUCACCACGCCACGUGACUUAUCUCUGGCUUAUAGAUGGGGCUCCCUGCUCAGACCCGGAGCCCCGGGAGGGGAGGACCCAGCCGCUUUGCCUCUGAACUGCACCGGGUCCAGCCCGGAGCUCACACAGACCGGGGGGCACUGAGGGGGGCACUGAGGGUAGCCUGAACGCAGAGGGGAGGAGGAAGCACCGCUGUGGCCGGGUCUCAGGACGCCCCCGCUCCUGCUCCGAGGUCCGGCUCAAGCCUUCACCGUUUCUCUCCUACCCCUCCAAGACCCCGCAAAUCUGCCUCAAGAAGAAAGGGGAAAUGUGGCCGGGGGAUUCCCAGGGUUGCCGUGCACCGUCUUGACCGGGAGGUCACAGGGAGGCAGUGGGACGGGCGGCCAGGCCCUCCCUGUAGUCUGAGGGUGAGACACCCAGCUCGAGCCGCAUGGGUGUCUGGGCACAAAUCGGGCUGAGUCGGGACCGGGGGGGCCGUCCCGGGGCCCAGGUCACAGGGGCGAUGGGAGGAGAGGCCCCAGGCUGGGGCUCACAUCACCCACCAGGGAAGAUGGGGUGCGGGACCCCCAGGGAGUCUCAGACAUGCUGAUUCCGGGGGCACAGCACUGAGCAAGGGAGGGCCUAGCAGGUGACAGCCCGCAAGGGGCACCCAGUGGAGGGGGAGGGCCCUGCCGCCAACCUCCUCCUCCUGCCUCACUCCCCAGUGAUGAUUCAGGUGCUCCUGCCCUAUCACGUCCCCUGCUGCCCAGGAUCUCCUCCCGAGGGUCCCUUGCUCAUGGAAUUAGGGAGUAACUGUGAGGGGCAUGUGGGCCAGUCCCAGCCGGUGGGACCCUCAGCCGCCUCCGUGAGGAGGAACAUGGCCGGGCUGGGAGGUCAAAUCGGUGCGGCAGGACGCAGCGAGUGCCCGCACCCCAACAGCCUGCCUUGGGCCCCUAGUGUGCUCUGAGACACCCGGGAGCUGCUGGGGUUCCUAGAACAUUCUAGGUCACCUCCCAAUGCACGUGAGGGCUGAGUGCAGGGCGCGGAGAGGGUGCCCCUUCACCUUUACUGGAAGCCCCUGUAGGCCAGAGGGUAUGCGUGUACACGUAAAGAGCGGGGCGUGGGCACCUCUAACGGGCUUCUGGUGUGGGGACAGAGCCGGAUCUGGUGGGGGUCUUAUGCGGGCUCCCAAGCCUCUGGGUCCUCUUGACGCCAUCCUGCCUCGGGGACCUUGUGUCCAUGGGGAUGGGCUGGUGGUCCUGGGGGAUGGUGGUCACCCUGGGCCGGCUGGAGCGGCGGGCAGGCGUCCAGCCCCCGUCUCCCACGGGCAGCGUUCGUGUCCGGUACUAAGGCAGGGGGAGCAGAGAGACGAAGCCGACCACCGGGGAAGGAAGAAUCCGGGGCGGCCCACGGCUCCAGAGCCCGGGAGUGCAGCCCCCAGAGGCCAGGGAAGGUGCUGUGAGGAGGGGGCUGCCGGCCCUGGGGAGCGGGGACCCCACAACGGAGGCAGCCAGUUUCUGGGACAGCCCUAUAAGGAGGAGCGUGAGGUCAGCGACUCCUGUCCGCGUCGGUUGCUUCUCUCUCUAGGGCUGCUGGCACUGGAGCUUCAAGGGGGCUGCAGGCAGGGGAGGAGGAGACGGGGUUGCCACCCCAGGCCCGGACCCCCGAGCAGGGACAGGGCUGGGCAGCUGAGGGACAGCGACAGAGCAGCAGCCCACGGGCGUCCUCGGAGACGGACUUUACCAAGGUUACUGGAGGCCUGGGCGUGGGCCUGGGGCUUUUACUGAGUGGUGAGCAGGAGAACGCAGCCCCUGCCCCUGGGGUCCCCGCAGCCACCCCCGGAGUCCCAGCCUCUCUGAGUGGGUGGGCCUGAGCACGCCCAUUGCAGAGGUGGGGUCUCACCCACAGGCCGGGUCCCAGGUCAGAGUCCCACAGAAGCGCGUCCCCCUGCACGCGUCGCUCCGGGUCGCUGCUCACUGUUUCGGAAGGACCUGAGGUGCUCACGGGACUCCUCCCUCCCAGUGGGCAUGGGGUCCCCCUUGGCUUGCUGGGCAACAGCCCACGCGCCCGAGAGCACGAGGCAUGUCCCUGGCCUCUUGGAGCAAAGAGGGGCAGGUCCAGACCAUCUCCAAGGUCGCCCUGCCCAACUAGUUCAACCCAGUACCCCCAGAGCGGACGGCUUGACGGUCCUGCAGACCCCCUGCCCCCGGCCUCGCUCGUCCCCGGCCAUCCGGCAGAGGGAGGGUCCCCACGAAGGGUCCCGGCAGGACCCGCAGGGGACGUUGGCCAGCGGGCCGCUCGCAGGACACGAAGCUGCCCCGAGAGUGCUGGUCGGCUGGAUGGGCGAGCGAGGGGGGAAUCGGGCGCAUCUCAGGCCGGGCAGCGUCCCCUGUAAAGUCAGACUCGGGAAUGGGGCCACAAACCCCCCCUUGGACGUGGUCUGUUCAGCGAUCUGUCAAGUGACAUCCAGUGACCGUGUGGAAAUGAGAAGGCAGAGUGCAGCCGUUCUGUGUGUCCUGGUGACAACAAGGGGUGACGGUCCAGGGUGGGGCCUCCCUCUGACAGGCACGAAGGCUGUCCUCCUCAGUGUCCCCAGGACCUGGGAUUAGGUAGUGACCCCAGGGCCCGUGGUGCCAAGGUCAGGACAAGGAAGGGGCUCAAGGUCCGUCCACGCUGGGCCACCAGCAGUCAGCUACUGAAGGGGUGGUUCCUGGUCCUGGUGAGGGCUCGACCUCAGGAUCUGAUGGGGACCUGCCCGGGGCCCAUGGAACUGGACACCCACAGCCGGGUCGGGAUGGGUCUGCUGGGAGGGAAGCCGCCGCGGGUAAUGGAUUUGCAGCCUCACGGAUGAGGGAAGUCGGAGGGUUUCAUGCCCAUCCCAGGAGCCCCGGGCUGAGCGGGGACGUGAGAGCCAUGGGGCCCCAGGGGGGCUCCUCAGGACACUUGCCAUCUGAGGCAUCAGCAGGGGUGCGCUGCCUCUCGCCAGCCCGCCCCGCCUGCAUCUUGGGGCCCCAGGCACGUGGGGGUCCCCCACCCCUAAGCUGCCCACAAGGUCACCACCUCGGGGGGCCACAGUGCUCUGGGGAAGCCCAGGUGGGGAGAGCGCCUUCUACAUGGGGAGAUUAGGGUUAGGGUCUGAGCAUUGUCUGUACUCCAGAGACCCGGGGACGGGCCAUGUUGCUUUUUUUUUUUUUUUAAUUUAAGGUUUUAUUUCUUUAUUUGACAGACAGAGAUCACAAGUAGGCAGAGAGGCAGGCAGAGAGAGAGGAGGAAGCAGGCUCCCUGUUGAGCAGAGUCCGAUGUGGGGCUCGAUCCCAUGACCCUGAGAUCGUGACCCGAGCCAAAGGCAGAGGCUUAACCCACUGAGCCACCCAGGCGCCCAGCCCUGUUGCUUUCUGAGCCCACUGGCCCACGGCCCAUCUGUGAGAUGGGAGCAGGAAUGAGCCAGCCCAGCCCCAGCCUGGGGACAGGUGGGGUGUGGACAGUGGGUGCAGCUCAGGGAAAGCAAAAUGUCACCCCCACCCUGGGUGGGAGCACUGAAGGUGCUCCCCCUCCCCGCGGCCUCCAGCAGUCUGGGGAGGGACCCCCUGUGCUGAGCUGUGCUCAGGAAUGUGUAGGUGGAAACCAGCCCCUCCAUCCCUGACAGAGGGCACUGCGUGGGAGACGGGGUCCUUUGGGGGGCCGGUCACCCUGCUUCUGUAGACGCUGUGACAGGAGCAGGAAAGCAGGGGGCUCCUCUUGUGGCCUUGGUGCCGGUGCUGGAGGGGAGCAGCCGGGGGCUCCCCGGGUGUCAGGGCAGCCGAGGAGACGCAGACGCACAAUUGGGGGGCCCCCAGCUCUACAGCAAAGUCAGGGGGCCGCUAAGGGACAGGGAGUCCAGGAGAGACUCCUGAGCCAGACCUGGGUGCGGCUCACUGAGUGGGGCAGGAGGAACUGCCACGGCUGUGCUCUGUGGUCCCGCCUGGUGGCCUCCCCCUCCCUUUUCGAGCUCUUCUGCCUUGCGGUCACCUCCUGCCUCCUGCACUGCGGGCCCCGCGCCCCCUUUCUCCCAUGCCUGUGGGCUCCUGUGGGGUCCUGGCCAUAGGCAGCUUGACCCCGACAAAGCCCGGUAUGGACAGACUGAACCGAUUGCAACAGCCGAUGCUCCCUCGCGGGGCCCCAGUUUCUCUUUCCCUUUCAGUUUAGACGAGGCAGGUUCCAGGUUGAGUGUGAGCUGGGCUGCUGGCGGGGGAUGAGGGGUCCUGAGGAGGGACAUGGAGCCUCCUGGAGGCUGGGAGCUGCCCCCCUGCAGCCGGGCACCCAAGCCUGAUGCCCUGAGCCAGGUUAUCGGGUGAAAGAGGCCUGUGGGGAGCUGACUGGCACGGUGUGUGCCCCCUGUGACCUGGGGACCUACACGGCCCACCUCAAUGGCCUGAGCGAGUGCCUACAGUGCCGAGUGUGUGACCCAGCUCCUCCUCGGCCAGCCCCGGCCGCUGCUGCUGCUGUCCCUCAGAGCCCCUUGGGACACACACCCCUGUGUCCAGCACCCGCAGGCCCAGCUUUGGGCUGAGCAGGGCGUGCACCUGGACGGGCCCUCCAGCAGGAGCACAGCGGGACCCAGACACACGCACAGCAGGCGGCAAAGCUGGGCUGAGGGAGCUGGUCACCAACCCCGUCCCCGAUCCCGGACAGGAGCCCAAAGGCCUGCGGCUGCUGUGCAGGCCUCUACUUGGUCUCCUCCCGGGAUGGGGGGCUCAGCACUGCCCACGGCAGCACAUGCAGCUGCUCUCAGCUCCUUCUCUUGGG